This 1017-nucleotide ribosomal RNA is filed under the name uncultured organism. RNAcentral's name for it is "bacterial SSU rRNA". It matches the Rfam family "Bacterial small subunit ribosomal RNA", at positions 356 to 1376 of the family's 1533-position model. The record is from RNAcentral.
GAGGAAUAUUGGUCAAUGGACGAGAGUCUGAACCAGCCAAGUAGCGUGAAGGAUGACUGCCCUAUGGGUUGUAAACUUCUUUUAUACGGGAAUAAAGUGAGGCACGUGUGCCUUUUUGUAUGUACCGUAUGAAUAAGGAUCGGCUAACUCCGUGCCAGCAGCCGCGGUAAUACGGAGGAUCCGAGCGUUAUCCGGAUUUAUUGGGUUUAAAGGGAGCGUAGGCGGGUUGUUAAGUCAGUUGUGAAAGUUUGCGGCUCAACCGUAAAAUUGCAGUUGAUACUGGCGACCUUGAGUGCAACAGAGGUAGGCGGAAUUCGUGGUGUAGCGGUGAAAUGCUUAGAUAUCACGAAGAACUCCGAUUGCGAAGGCAGCUUACUGGAUUGUAACUGACGCUGAUGCUCGAAAGUGUGGGUAUCAAACAGGAUUAGAUACCCUGGUAGUCCACACAGUAAACGAUGAAUACUCGCUGUUGGCGAUAUACGGUCAGCGGCCAAGCGAAAGCAUUAAGUAUUCCACCUGGGGAGUACGCCGGCAACGGUGAAACUCAAAGGAAUUGACGGGGGCCCGCACAAGCGGAGGAACAUGUGGUUUAAUUCGAUGAUACGCGAGGAACCUUACCCGGGCUUAAAUUGCAACUGACUGAACCGGAAACGGUUCUUUCUUCGGACAGUUGUGAAGGUGCUGCAUGGUUGUCGUCAGCUCGUGCCGUGAGGUGUCGGCUUAAGUGCCAUAACGAGCGCAACCCUUAUCGAUAGUUACUAGCAGGUCAUGCUGAGGACUCUAUUGAGACUGCCGUCGUAAGAUGUGAGGAAGGUGGGGAUGACGUCAAAUCAGCACGGCCCUUACGUCCGGGGCUACACACGUGUUACAAUGGGGGGUACAGAAGGCAGCUACACGGCGACGUGGUGCUAAUCCCGAAAGCCUCUCUCAGUUCGGAUUGGAGUCUGCAACCCGACUCCAUGAAGCUGGAUUCGCUAGUAAUCGCGCAUCAGCCACGGCGCGGUGAAUACGUUCCCG